UGGGGAAUCUUGCGCAAUGGGGGAAACCCUGACGCAGCGACGCCGCGUGCGGGAUGAAGGCCUUCGGGUUGUCAACCGCUUUCAGCAGGGACGAGGCCUUAUGGUGACGGUACCUGCAGAAGAAGCUCCGGCUAAAUACGUGCCAGCAGCCGCGGUCAUACGUAUGGAGCAAGCGUUAUCCGGAUUCAUUGGGCGUAAAGCGCUCGUAGGCGGUCUGUUAGGUCGGCAAGUUAAAUCCGGGGGCUCAACGCCCGUCCGCUUCCGAUACCGGCAGACUUGAGUUUGGUAGGGGAAGGGGGAAUUCCUAGUGUAGCGGUGGAAGGCGCAGAUAUUAGGAAGAACACCGGUGGCGAAGGGGGCCUGCUGGAACAUAAAUGACGCUGAGGAGCGAAAGCUAGGGGAGCGAACAGG
RNAcentral lists this ribosomal RNA (411 nucleotides) under Verrucomicrobiota bacterium. Its description in RNAcentral is "Verrucomicrobia bacterium partial 16S ribosomal RNA". It matches the Rfam family "Bacterial small subunit ribosomal RNA", at positions 355 to 776 of the family's 1533-position model. The record is from RNAcentral. Lineage: Bacteria; Pseudomonadati; Verrucomicrobiota.